This 468-nucleotide ribosomal RNA is filed under the name uncultured bacterium. RNAcentral describes it as "bacterial SSU rRNA". It matches the Rfam family "Bacterial small subunit ribosomal RNA", at positions 501 to 967 of the family's 1533-position model. The record is from RNAcentral.
CUACGUGCCAGCAGCCGCGGUAAUACGUAGGUCCCGAGCGUUGUCCGGAUUUAUUGGGCGUAAAGCGAGCGCAGGCGGUUAGAUAAGUCUGAAGUUAAAGGCUGUGGCUUAACCAUAGUACGCUUUGGAAACUGUUUAACUUGAGUGCAAGAGGGGAGAGUGGAAUUCCAUGUGUAGCGGUGAAAUGCGUAAAUAUAUGGAGGAACACCGGUGGCGAAAGCGGCUCUCUGGCUUGUAACUGACGCUGAGGCUCGAAAGCGUGGGGAGCAAACAGGAUUAGAUAMCCCUGGUAGUCCACGCCGUAAACGAUGAGUGCUAGGUGUUAGACCCUUUCCGGGGUUUAGUGCCGCAGCUAACGCAUUAAGCACUCCGCCUGGGGAGUACGACCGCAAGGUUGAAACUCAAAGGAAUUGACGGGGGCCCGCACAAGCGGUGGAGCAUGUGGUUUAAUUCGAAGCAACGCGAAGA